AUACAUUAACACAACAAAGACACAUCAUCACAGUUUCACAAGCAAGCUUUUCAUAUUUCACAGUAUCACAGCCAGUAUCACAACAACUACACAGUUGCCCUUCACAAAAUCUACUACCAAUGAAACAGAAAGCUAUAACCAAGGAUACGAAAAGAUACUACAAAUCAAAGAAUACGAAGUUGUUCAAAUAAUCUUGCUGCUCCUUGUUCUGCCCUUUGGAUAAUCAAAGUCUUUUGCUUGUAGUAGUCUUCCUUUUCUUAUUCUUGAUUCGAUCAACCAUUGAAGUUCUCUUAACAUACUUCUUCCUUUUCUUGUUCUUCUUCUCAUUAACUGGUUCCUCUUCAUUAACUGGUUCCUCCUCCUCAUUAGUUGCUUCUUUCUCAUUGUGACAUAAAAUGGGUGUAAACUUGCUCUAUACUGUGUCUUUUUGUUUCUCUCUUCCUCCUUAAUAGUUUCAACCAUUAUAACCUAAGCAACUAUCAAUAACACAUGGAAGAUGAGAGAGAGAGAGAGAGAGAGAGAGAGAGAGAGAGAGAGAGCUGCUUUUUAGAUGAGUGUGUGUGGGUGGAGAAAGUGUGAGUGUGAAUUAGGUUAUGAUGAGAGAUGCGUAAUUAAGUUAAAAGCUAAUAUCUAACAUGAAAAGAUAUUUGGGCUGGACCUAGCUGGAUUAGACUUAUGUAAGUAAAAAUAUUUAAGUAGACUUAUAUAAGAGAAAAUAUCUCAAAUAGAUUUCUACGUAAUUAGCCCGUUAGAAAUCUUACUUAGGCCCAAAAUAGGCUAAGAAUCCAUCACAAGGGCGAGACCGAAAAUUUGAUUAGAAAUCCAUGGUAUAUAAAUACAUUGCUCAUUACCUUCUUUAUUCUUCACCGCCGAAACCCCAAACCCCAAACCCCCACUUCAACUCCACAGCUUCGCGUAUCUUCGGCCAUGGGGUCAGGCAUUUUUUUUUUUUUCUAGCUACUUUCUUUUCAGAUAAGUGAUUCUCUCUUCGUUUGUUUGUUGAAGAUUUUGUUAAGGAUUUGGUGAAGAUGUAUACCUAUCUCUGCGAUUUGCUUCCUAAUUGUUGAAUCGAAGUCUUUGGAUUUGUAUUCUGAGCAUGUUAAUGGUGAUAUCUCUUCGUUUGUUGAAGUUUUUGUUAAGGAUUUGGUGAAGAUAUUAUCUCUGCGAUUUACUUCCUAAUUGUUGAAUCGAAGCUUUGGAUUUGUAUUCUGAGCAUGUUAAUGGUGAUUUGUUGCUAUGAAAGCUGAUGCAAUUUGCUAGACCUGAAUUUUUUUUUCUCUGAAACCCUAGUUUGCCUACACUCUUGUUCAACUCUUCCUUGCUGCCUUUCCCAAUCUCUUGUCUCUCUCACGCCUGCUUCUCUAUUCUUUACCUUUGAUUUUUUUUGUUUUUGUUUUGAUUCUCAAACCCUAGCUUCAUACUGUUGUAGGCGUGGAUCUCGAUGCUUACAGAGAGUUGGUGAAGGACAAGGGGGGGAUGAGACAUGGUACUAGGUUUUUUUACUCGAACUUAAACCUUAGCAGGAUGUGUAUGUGGGAAGAGGUAGAGAGGAAUAACCGAGAAGAGGAUAUGAAGCAAGCUCUACAUGAAAGGAUAGCUCUAAAUAAAAGCCUUGGGCAAUAUUGGGAUAACCUCAGGAAUGAAAACAAGAGGGCAUUGGUUAAGUCUUGUUUAAAUGCUGAGGAUUUACAAAAUUUUACUCGGGAGAAUACUCCUGUUAUUGAGUUUCUUACCAAAAUCAACCCGGAGGUUAUAUGGGAAUAUACUUUUCUUGCAUUUGAAUUGACUUAUUUUCAGUCGGGAGCUAGAUUCUUGGAGAUUGCUCAAUCUGAUACUCUCAAUCUAAAAUCCGAGAAGUUUUUCAGCCUUCUAGAUGGAGCGAGUGAGAGUACAUGGCUGUUAGGUGGAAGUCCUAAGGUUGAGCAUGUGUUAGAUCAUUGUAUGGAGGUUUUAAAGAAUGCAGGAGAUGGAGAUGUUAUCGCUAGCAGCUGUUUACGCAUAGAACAAAAACUAUUAGAAGGUUACAUCCAAGCAGAGGUCGACAAGGAUAAAACUAGAAACAGAAGGGCCCAGAAAAAGAAGGAGAGAUAUGCUGGACCAAAAAACCCACGUGUACAAGAUAUUUCUGGUCUGCUCAAUACAAAUACAGUUGACAACAGCACUAAGGGGGAUGCAAAAAUCCAAGAUGUGGUUGUUAACAGUGAUGUGGGUAAUCUUGAGGUAGAAGCCAAAGUUGUGGGUGAAGCAAGAUCUACUCAAAUUGAUGAAUUAGGCUCCCAGACAUUAGAUAUUGUAACUGGAAUGGCUAGGGAUUAUUGUGCAACGUCAUCAGAAUCAUUAAUUUCAGAGGAAGCUCGGCAAGGUGAUGGUGCCAGCAUGUUUGAACCACUUGCUCAGCCUGAUUCUGGAGAGGAAGAUGAGGACCAGUCUGCAAAAGAUGUAUCAGGAUCGGCUACUGCCAGAACCACGUCGCAACUACAAUCAUCAAAUGCAAAGUCAAAAAAACAGGAAGCAUCAGGUCCAUCUUCCCCGUCACCAGGUGUGUUCAGCUCAGUAGUGUCCUCCAAUGAACCGGGUGGGAGUUCAAGUAACCCUUCUGGAGAAGCUGCAGUUCCUCAAACUAUGGCCAUGGAAAUUAGGGCCGUGCAGGAUAUGAUGAAAAAGGUGAGCGCUGAAAUUUGGGCAUUUAAUUAUCUUGCACAUGUCUAUGACGUACCAACUAUUUUCUGCUUAACUUGGUAAAGUAGGCUUAGUAUCUUCUCCAAAACUAUGCUACUGCCAUUUAUGCCGGUCUUCAAGUCAUUUAUUAUUUGGUGAACUGGUAUAUCAAUAUGUUCUUUCUUGUCCCAUUUCACAUGCCUAUAUCAUGGGAAGAGCUAAAGGUUCUAUGUUGCAUGUGUUAUGGUUGUGUUUUGUGUAAUCAAACCUUGUUUUCUUGUCCAUUAUCCUUUCUGUUAACUAUGGCUUUUCAUCAUAUGUGCAGCUAAUGGAUAUGCACGAAAAAUUGCAAGAGCAGAUGGCAGUGAUGAAGGCUAUAGAGGCCGAUAAUGUUGCUAUGUGGGUUCAGCGUCUUGAAGAGUUUCCUAAACAAGUAACUGGUCUGAUCGAUGACUUUGUAAACAAGGACUUUGGAGUCAUGUUAGAGAAAAAGGUGAAAAAUGAAUUAGCUGAUAUUAAAGACGCUUUUGUUUGUGCAAACACUCCAGGUAUAGAGCAAACUCAGACAGUACCUUGGCUGUAUCUGAUUACUGUCAGGUAAGAAUUUUAGAUGUUCUAGCAUUUU
Molecule: long non-coding RNA, 3283 nt
Filed under: Fragaria vesca (wild strawberry)
Lineage: Eukaryota; Viridiplantae; Streptophyta; Magnoliopsida; Rosales; Rosaceae
Description: long non-coding RNA (FVES_LNC001612)
Source: RNAcentral